GACGAACGCUGGCGGCGUGCUUAACACAUGCAAGUCGAACGGAAAGGCCCUGCCUUUGUGGGGUGCUCGAGUGGCGAACGGGUGAGUAACACGUGAGUAACCUGCCCUUGACUUUGGGAUAACUUCAGGAAACUGGGGCUAAUACCGGAUAGGAGCUCCUGCUGCAUGGUGGGGGUUGGAAAGUUUCGGCGGUUGGGGAUGGACUCGCGGCUUAUCAGCUUGUUGGUGGGGUAGUGGCUUACCAAGGCUUUGACGGGUAGCCGGCCUGAGAGGGUGACCGGCCACAUUGGGACUGAGGUACGGCCCAGACUCCUACGGGAGGCAGCAGUGGGGAAUAUUGCACAAUGGGCGGAAGCCUGAUGCAGCAACGCCGCGUGCGGGAUGACGGCCUUCGGGUUGUAAACCGCUUUCGCCUGUGACGAAGCGUGAGUGACGGUAAUGGGUAAAGAAGCACCGGCUAACUACGUG
Molecule: ribosomal RNA, 468 nt
Filed under: uncultured bacterium
Lineage: Bacteria
Description: partial 16S ribosomal RNA
Rfam family: Bacterial small subunit ribosomal RNA
Source: RNAcentral